GUAGCGCAGUGGAUAGCGCGUUGGACUUCUAUUCCAAAGGUCGAGGGUUCGAAUCCCACACA
This 62-nucleotide transfer RNA is filed under the name Trichonephila inaurata madagascariensis. Its description in RNAcentral is "tRNA-Arg". It matches the Rfam family "tRNA", at positions 8 to 63 of the family's 71-position model. From Rfam's summary of the family: Transfer RNA (tRNA) molecules are approximately 80 nucleotides in length. Their secondary structure includes four short double-helical elements and three loops (D, anti-codon, and T loops). Lineage: Eukaryota; Metazoa; Arthropoda; Arachnida; Araneae; Nephilidae. The record is from RNAcentral.